Molecule: transfer-messenger RNA, 125 nt
Filed under: Actinomycetota bacterium
Lineage: Bacteria; Bacillati; Actinomycetota
Description: Actinobacteria bacterium (hot springs metagenome) partial transfer-messenger RNA
Rfam family: transfer-messenger RNA
About the family: Bacterial tmRNA, also known as 10Sa RNA or SsrA, is named for its dual tRNA and mRNA-like properties.
Source: RNAcentral
CUGGGAUCGUCAUCCUGGCUGGUUCGCGUGACCGGGAGAUCCGAGUAGAGACAUAGCGGACUGCGCACGGAGAAGCCUUGAGGGAAUGCCGUAGGACCCGGGUUCGAUUCCCGGCAGCUCCACUU